UUUUCGCGUUAAGGAUAGCAGCGGAAAUCCUUUUGAGGAACGAAAAAGAUUGCAGCGGAUAGCCUGACCCGAA
RNAcentral lists this small RNA (73 nucleotides) under Flavobacterium noncentrifugens. RNAcentral's name for it is "Flavo-1 RNA". It matches the Rfam family "Flavo-1 RNA". The record is from Rfam by way of RNAcentral. Lineage: Bacteria; Pseudomonadati; Bacteroidota; Flavobacteriia; Flavobacteriales; Flavobacteriaceae.